Long non-coding RNA from Gorilla gorilla gorilla (western lowland gorilla), 8952 nucleotides. RefSeq lists it as uncharacterized. Lineage: Eukaryota; Metazoa; Chordata; Mammalia; Primates; Hominidae. The record is from RefSeq and is a predicted model, not a curated record. The transcript has 2 exons.
UUGAGAGGGGUCUCAGUCUGGUGCCCAGGCUGGAGUGCAGUGGCACAAACAUAGCUCACUGCAGCCUCAACCUCCUGGGCUCAAGCAGUCCUCUCACUACACCUUCCUGUGUAGCUAGGACCACAGAUGGGCAUCACCAUGCCCAGCUCAUUUUUUUUCUGUAGAAACAGGGGUCUCACUUUGUUGCCCAGGCUGGUCUUGAACUCCUGAGCUCAAUCUUCAUACCUUGGCCUUCCAAAGUGCGGGGAUUACAGGUGUGAGCCACCAUGCCCAGCCCCAAACAUUGCUUCUAGAAAUGAAAUUCGUAAUCUACCUCUGUAGUAUAACAUAUCUGUACUUUGCCCAUUGAGAAGUGUUCUGAACCAAAAUGUCCAUAUUCGGAUUAUAGCCAUUAUCCCCAAUGUGCACUUCAUUCUACAAACAGCUGUGUGUAGAGUGGAUAUAUUAAGUCCAUAUUUUAAUAUCUAGUCCUAGGUAUUUUGAAGUGAAGAUGUUUGUGACAAAUUUUUAAAAAUGAGGUGGUGAACUGGAGUUGGCCCACAGGCCAUAGUUAAGCAACCCCUAUGUUAGCAGCUCCAUGCAUUCCACACCAGUCUCUAUAGUAGCAAAUAGGAAGCCCUGCUCCUCCCCCACAAAAAGUGACAUUUUUGACACAUUUUUGGGUUGUUAAAUUCAAAACCCAAUGUCCUUUGGCAGCAUUUGUAAAGGAGGAAGGACUCUCUCCAACUGAUGGUUUUUUUUGUUUUGUUUUUUUUUUUUUUGAGACGGAGUCUCGCUCUUUCACCCAGGCUGGAGUGCAGUGGCGCGAUCUCGGCUCACUGCAAGCUCCGCCUCCCAGGUUCAUGCCAUUCUCCUGCCUCAGCCUCCUGAGUAGCUGGGACUACAGGUACCCGCCACCACAGCACCUGGCUAAUUUUUUUUUUUUUUUUGUAUUUUUAGUAGAGACGGGGUUUCACCAUGUUAACCAGGAUGGUCUUGAUCUCCUGACCUCAUGAUCCGCCUGCCUCGGCCUCCCAAAGUGCUGGGAUUACAGGCAUGAGCCACUGCACCAGGCCAACUGAUGUUCUUAAGCCAUCUCUUUGAGCUGUAACUCAUUAAUGAACGCUUUACUGGAGAAAUCAGAAAAGCAUAAAAGGAAUGGUUCUAUUUGUUUUUAGAAAACACUCCAGAUUAUACUGUAGUUCCAUGUCAGUUCCACUUAACACAGCUGUGUUGCUAGUGGAUGAAAUUAAGUCUCUUGUUUUGAAACACCUUAGGCUUCUGGGUGUUCGGAGGUGAUGACACAUGAUAAAGGACAGCUAGUAGAAUAAUACAUGUUAUAAAUAUCUCUAAUUAUUUUAACAAAUGAAAUACUAUUUUGUAGGUGAGAUUGUUCAUUCAGUACUUAUUCCUGGGUUUGUGAGUGGGAGGGAGAGGCAGCACUAGGGUAGGUUUCUACAGAUGUGUCUUUUUUUUUCUCUUUCUUUUUUUCUUUUGAGAUGGAAUCUCACUCUGUUGCCCAGGCUGGAGUGCAGUGGCACAAUCUUGGCUCACUGAGACCUUCACCUACCGGAUUCAAGCAAUUCUGCAUCAACCUCCCGUGUAGCUGGGAUUACAGGCAUGCACCACCAUGCCCGGCUAAUUUUUUGUAUUUUUAGUAGAGACAGGGUCUCACCAUGUUGGCCAGCCUGGUCUCAAACCCCUGACCUCAGGUGAUCGGCCCACCUGGGCCUCCCAAAGUGCUGGUGAGCCCCUGCGCCCGGCCAGAUGUGUCUUUUUAGAUGACAGGUGCAGAGUGAUCUGUGCCUGUAUUUUAUAUGGCUCUGGCUGUGUACACACUCUUUUUUGAGACAGAGUCUCACUCUGUCACCCAUGCUGGAGUGCAGCAGCACAAUCACGGCUCACUGCAGCCUCCACCUCCUAGGCUCAAGCAAUCCUCCCACCUCAGCCUCCUGAGUAGCUGGGGCCACAGGUGCACACCAUCAUGCCCAGAUAAUUUUUUGUAUUUUUUGUAGAGAAGGGGUUCCACCAUGUUGUUGCCCUCACUGGCCUUGAACUCCUGGGCUUAAGCAAUCUGCCUGCCUUGGCCUACCAAAGUGCUGGGAUUACAGGUGUGAGCCACUGCGCCCAGCUAACACUGUCUCAUUUACCAUUAUAUUCCUAGUGACUAAAACAGUGCCAGACACAUACUAGGUGGUCAAUACUUUCUGAAUGAAUAGUGUAAUUCCCUAUAUAUGAACAAUCACUAUGUAUAUAUGGAAACCUGGGAGGAUGUAUACCAAAAUAUCAACAGUAGUGUUUUCUGGUUGGUAGACAUUAGGGUAAUUUUACUUUCUUUUUUUGUUUAAAUUUGCUACAACAACUACAUAUUAUCUUUGUAAACAAGGUAGGGAAAGUUUAUUCACUAAUUCCUUCUCAGAGUAUGAUUAUGGUGGCAUAAAUUGAUGCAGUAUUACAGGCACAAAGCCACUUCAGCAAACCCUUUUUAUAAGGGCCCUAAUACAUUCAUGAGGGAAGAGUCCUCAUGACUUAAUAACUUUCCAAAAGGCCCCGCCGCUUAAUACUACCACAGUGGGGAUUAAGGUUCAACACGAAUUUUGGAGGGGCCACCAUCAUUCAAACCACAUAGGUGGUAUCAGAGAAGACUAUGUGGAAAAUGGGAAUUUGUAUCACCAUCCAGCGAUAAUGAGGCCUCACACCUCCCAUGGUGACAUUAGAGACCACAUGGGGAGCAGUAAUGAGGCACCCCUCCCCCGCCCAGCAGAAGUGUUGUCAGUGGAAGCCAACUGGGGGGUCCCAAAAUACCACUGCUACCAACAGUAAUGAGAUACUCCUCCUACCUACUGGAGUAUCAAAGGAAGGCAAAGGGGGAACUUUCAAACACACACCGUAGAAAUGAGAUAUGUGUGUGGUGAGUUCAGUUCACAUGGCUGUGAGUGUUUAGUGGAUCUGGGGUUAGUCCAGGGAGGAGGCAGACAGAGGGGAAGGAAGGUGCAACACAGAGGUGGAAAGAGGCCAGAGGUGUUCAGAUCUGCAGGUGGCUCCUGGGGCGGCAGAUAAAAUGGGCCUGGAGGGGCAGGUCAGGGCUCUGUUAGGUAGGCCUCCGUGACAGGUUCAUGAGUGGAAAUUUCACCCUGAGAGGAGACCGCAGACAGAUUUUAGGCAAGAGCCUGACAUCAGAGAGACAGAAAGGUGUCAUGUGGGGAAGAGUGCAGGGAGGAAAUGCUGCUGGCCUGAGGCCACACAGGCAGUGGUUGGAACUCAGGAUGUCAUGAGACCCAAAGCAAGCCAGGCCUGGUGGGGCUUAGAGGUGGGCAUGGGUCUGAGAGGUGUUGUAGAAGGCAGAGUGUGCAGGGUUUUGUGCUGAGAGACGGGGGAGGUACUGAGGUCAAUAUCUGACAUUUUAAGCUCCAGGAAACUGUGAAACAUUAAGAUAGUGUGAUGGACAAUUUAACAUGUCAUCUUGGCUGGGCCACUGGGUGCCCAGGUAUUGGGUCAAACAUUAUUCUGGACAUGUCUGUGAGGGAAGUUUUGGAUGAGGUUAACAUUGGUUUAUCAUCCCAAAAAUGUAUUAUCGUGGAUAUGACUUAUGUUUUAAAUAUGUGAACAUUAUUGUGCUUUCUUGGACAUCCACUGCCUAGGGCAGACCUCUGCCCUGAUGGGUGUUCAGGCACUGGGUGUAUUACCCAUGUCUUUACUUUUCUCUAUUCAUUCAUGAUACUUUGACAUCUGGGGCAUUGCUGACUCUGGGGGGACUGCCCCACCUUCCCUAUCAGGCUCUCACGAGGGCUACUAUCCAUCCACCUGCCUUAGUCACCCCAGGGCCAUUGCCAGACAUUAGGGAUAGUCAUCUGCCCCAGAGCCCUGAAAUUAAACUAGACAAUCCUAAGCCUGUGUGCUCCGCUCACCCACUCCUCCCGUGGAAACCAUAAAAAGGCUCCAGCCCACAGUUCCUCCAUCUCCCUCUGUUCCUGACUGGCCCAGUGUCUCCUGUGAGGCCCCGUGUGCUGUGCUGGGCCUCCUGUUUCUAGGGAUGUAUGAGCAGAAUAAGCUGCUUCUUCAUGAGAGUCAUUUUUGUGUCUGUGUGCCUUAUCAUCCUUAAUUAAAACAGAUCCUGGGGACCCUUAAAACACAGGUAAGCACUUGCUCAUCCAUUCUUCAGGAGGCUAAGUCUGGGUCAUCCGCCUCUGUCUCUUCUCAAACCCUUUCAGGGCGUAGCCUGAGGCUGGGGUUGCAAUAAGAGCUCAACGAACGUGGCUGGCUGAGUUCUCCUGUGCUGUCCACCAGGCCUCCCCAUCGGGUCUGUGCCUCCCAUGGGGCUGUGUGUGUGUGUGUCUGAUGUGGGGUGCCAGCAGCACAGACACACCAGUGUGUUGUGUUUCCCUCAGAGGCAGCCUCGGGGCUCAGCCUGCUAAGGGUGAGGACAAGGAGGUGCUGGGUGGUGACGUCUUAGACUUCAUCUGAGCCUUCAAUGUCAUGGGAACAGACAUGUCUCGGAGAGGUGCACCCUGGGAUCUGUCCAGGAUCAGAAACUCUUGGAGCCAGCCCAGCCAGAGGUACUGCCCAAGGACUUGUUCUCCAAAGCUUCCAGUCAUGAAAGUGCUCAGCCCAAGGUGGGUGCCAGGGUGACCGUGCCCCAGGGAUGGCUGGGCUUCUUUCUCUACCUGGUUCAGCCCAAGCCACUUAAGGCAACUGUGGAUUCACAGCGGUACCUCUAACUCUUCCCACCCCAUGGAGACCUGGGCAUGCAUGAAAGGCUAGGAGGACAGCAUAGAAUUUGGCCACUGGCCCCUACGGCCAUGGGUGGUGGUUGGUGACUGAAGAAAGAGAUGAAGGCUUGUCAGGGAGGUGCUUGAACCCUGUCUGGUAGCCCACAGAACCGAGAUCAGAGGCUGUGGAGGCACUGCUGCCUCCUGGGCUCUAAAUGAGCAAAUGUUUGGGAACGACAGUGCCAGAACAAAGCUGCCUGCGCUCCUGUCCUGCCCUUCUCAGCUCAAGUCACACACGUGCUAAGAGGCUUUUGGCUGCAAGUGGCUGGUAGACAUUGGUUGACAGAUUUGGGAUGUGAUAAGAGGCUGUUGAUUUCAUUCGUUUGUGCAAUGUCGGAGAUAAAUUUUAACAGUUAAAACGGGGAAGGAAAAAAAAAGCCCUAGAACUUUGCCAGCAUCACAACUCUGCCUGUUUCUUCUAACGGAUUUCUUGAAACUGUCAACUGCCUGAGCUGGAGAAGCCCACUUAUAAGGAACGUUGUCAUGUGUCUCCAGGGGAGCCAGGACCGUCCGUGGGGUUGGCUGGCCCUUCACAAUGUGACCCCACUUCCAUGGGCUCCCUCUUUCCUCCUGCACAGCCCUGGGGUGCAGGGCUCCCUCUGGAAGGCAACAGCUUCCAGCGACUCAAAGGCCUGCAGGGUCGUGUGAUCUCAGCAUCACAGGUCUACCCAUAGAACCAGCAAUUUUAUCAGUAGUAUUAAUUAUCCUCUGCAAAAAGAGACACUGAAAACAAAGUUCCCUUUCUCAAAGAACUCUGAUGAGAAAUUAAAAAAUAUAUUUGACCUUGGAGGAUUCAUUGUUUUGGAAGCCACGGAGACCUGCAUCAUGCAACCCAAAAGAAGGAUUACAUCUGAGAUGUGUGGGACGGGCACGAGGGGCCUCUACAACCAAUCUACCCUGUGUCUUGACUUCUCUGAGAGUUGCAUUGGGUUCAACAGUGAUUCCAUUUCCUCCCAAAGGGCCACUGGGAGAUAAGCAGCAUCGAGCUUAUAUCCAAAAAGCUCUAUGUAGUUUCAAGGUGUUUCCAAAGCACCUCCUCUGAUCCUCAUACCCUCCAGGGUGGCAGGCAACACAGGGCAUUUGAGUUUGCUCUGAGAUGAAGAUACGACCAUAGGGUUGUACCCAGAAGGUCUCAUGACUGGACAUCCAGCUCUUUGCACCACACUCCGAAGGGAGAAGUGGUCCAGGUUGCCCUUCUGAGAGUGAAUAUCACUUCCAGCACAGGCGGCAGCCUGCAUCCCAGCCGGCCCUGCUGAUGCCUCCAAGGAUGUGAGUGAGAGUUACCCACAUCAUGGGAACCCUUUGCUGGUCUGCAAAAUAUCCCAGAGGUUGUUCCUUUGAACCCUGUGUGUGGAGAGCUUUGACUUAAAUGUGCCAUGCAUAGAAUGAACCCCUGCAGGGGUGUGUCACCCCUUGGCUUCCCAGGAAGACCACCCGCUUUUCUGACACUGUCCCUGGAAUGACCAACUGUGGCCUUUUUACGAACUCUUCAGGCUCGAGAAGUGCACAUCCUCAUUUACAAGGGACAUGUGGAAAGUCUUGAAAUUGGAUCCGAAAAGUGUGGUUUCUCCAAGAACUAAAGCUCCCGAAGCAGUUUUGAGAAGAGAGGGACAUAGGCCAGCAAGGAUUUUGGCAUGGAUUCUUUUCCUUUGCUCUUAGGAUGUGUGUGAUCCCAAAGAGUUUGCCGGCAGGCUAUGGGAACUCCAUCCCCACACACUCAGCCACUACCUCAGGUGGCAGGGGCCCUGGCUAGGGUUUGGCUGUAAUAUUCAGGACUGACUGAGCAUCCUGCACACUGGUGAAGGGAGGGGUCCUCUGGAGACCAUGCCUCUCCUACAGUCAGCCCCACCCCCAGGUGGGAGGGAUGUGCCAGUGCCUUCUCACCCCCACGUGCCUGCAUGCUGCCCUUCGUUCUGCUGUUUCCUAAUCACACCUGCUCUCAGGAACAGGUGCAACACAGUCCCACUAGGUGCAUAGCUACUCACACUGUGACACGGACACUCCCAGGAACACCAGCCCCAUAAAGCCUCGGAGGAGAGGGCUAGAAUUCUAGGCAACCUUGAGCUAGGGAGGGCUCCUUUGAACUGGGAGAUUCUCAAUGUCUUUGGAGUCUUAUUCUUAUCAAAAGUCCCUCUGGAGAAGCCUCGUCUUGGGGAUUGGCCAGAGGGAAAAGUUUAUGGCAGCACUUGCAUCAAAAGACACCAUAGCAUCACAUCAACCAACGACCAACUGUAAUGAUUUCACUUUUAUCAGUAUACACAUGAUUAGAAAUUUUGGAAACUGGACCACUCUUCUGUUCUACUAACCAAACACUCAAUACCAUGAAUCAUGUGAGAGGACUGUUGCCCAUGUUAGGUUAUGUGACCUUUUUAUUUUGGCUGGGGAUGGUAUACUUCAUUGAUGGUGCAUGACAAGCUGGAGCUGCCUAAGCCCCUGUCCUUCCUCCAGGAGUCUGGAAUGGAAACUGACUUUGGGGAGCCUGAGUGGGGCAAUGACUCCCCAGCAGCUGGGGGUUCACUCUUCCUUUCAUGCUCUUGAUGGAGCUGGUGGUCUGGGGGUCUUACUCCUUGGAGGCCGUGUGGACCAUAAGGUCCACCACCCUGUUGCUGCUGCCAAAUUCAUCCCAGGAAAGGAGCCUGACAAAGUGGCCAUUGAAGGUAAUGCCAAUCGUGGCAUUGAAGGUAGAAGAGUGCGGGUGCCACUCUUAAAGUCAGAGGAGACAACUUGGUCCUCAGUGUAGAUCAGAAUGCCCUUGAGGGGACCCUCCGAUACCUGCUUCAGCAUCUUCUCAUGCCAUCAUAUUUGGCAGCUUUCUGCAGAUGGCAGAUGAGAGCCACAACCAAAAUAUUAUGGGUGGGAACACAGAAGGCCAUACCUGUGAGCCUCUUAUCUGGCUCAGGGAUGACCUUGCCCAUAGCCUCGGCCACACUAGUAGAUACAGGGAUGAUGUUCUGCAGCAGUCACGCCAAAGUUUCUCCAACAGUCUUCUGGGUGGCAGUAGUGGCAUGGACUGUAGUCAUAGAUGACCUUGGCCAAGGGUGCCAAACAUUGAUAGUGCAGGAGGCACUGCUGACAAUCUCGAGAAGAUAAUUCAUACUUCUCAUGGUUCACACCCACCACAAACAUGGAUCUGCAUAAGAGCACAAGGGGCAAAGAUGACGACAGUUUUGGCUCCUUCAAGUGAGCCCCAGUCUUCUCCGUAGUGCUGAAGAUGCCAGUGGGCUCUGCACCAUAUUCAGCACCAGUGUUGCCUCAUUUGAUGUUGGCGAGAUCUUGCUCUUGGAGGAUAGAGAUGGGUUUCCCAUUGAUUACAAGCUUCCUGUUCUCUUUCCUUGACUGUGCCAUUGGACUUGUCAUGAAAUAUACUGGAACAUGUAGACCAUGGAGUUGAGACCAGUGAAGAGAUCAUUGAUGAUGACAGUGUCCAUUUUGCCAGAGUUGAAAGCUGCCCUGGUGACCAGGUAUCCAAUAUGGCCAAAUCCAUUGACUCAGACUCUCACCAUUGUAUCCUGGAUGAGGCUGACACUGCAUGAGCAGAUGGAGCUGUUUGUCGAACGAGGAAGAGAAGAGAGCCACAGCUUUUUUCUUUUAAAAACAGACUUCAUCUUCUGAGCAGUUCUAGAUUCACAGAAAAAUUGAGCAGAGUACAGAGAUAUCCCAGGUACCUUCCCCCCUACACAUGCACAGCUCCCCACAUUAUCAACAUCCCCCACCAGACUGGCAUGUUUGUUUCAAUUAAUGAACCAACAUUGACACAUCUCUGUCACCCAGAGUCCAUGGUUUACCUUAGGGUUCACUCUCUGUGUUGGACAUUUUAUGGGUUUUGACAAAUGCAUUAUGACAUGCAUCCAUCAUUAUAAUAUCAGAGUAGUCUCACUGCCCUACAAAUCCUCUGUACCCUACCAGUUCAUCCGUUCCUCCCGCUCCCCACUUGGCAACCACUGAUCUUGUUAUCCUCUUCAUAGUUUCACCUUUUCCAGAAUGUCAUACAGUUGGAAUCAUACGGUAUGCAGCCUUCUCAGAUUGGCUUCUUUCACUCAGUAAUAUGCAUUUAAGUUUCCCCCAUGCCUUUUCAUGGCUUCGCAGCUCAAGCUAAGUAAUACGCCAUUGUCUGCAUGUACCCCAGUUUAUCCCCUCACCUACUGAAGGAUAUCUUGGUUGUUUCCAACUUUUAGCAAAUACGAAUAAAGUGGCUCUAAACAUC